AUGUUCUGGCACAAGGAGCCAGACAUCAAAUACUACAUGUGCACAAUCAAUAAAACAUUUGCUAAGCCAGGCCACGACAUGAUACAAUAUACCAAAGACAACCUACUGGACUACAUUGAUCCGAACAAUGACACACUCAUGAUCAGACUUGCAGAUGCCCGUCUACACAUCGAAUGUCGCAUUAUGCUAGGAACUGACAAGAGGGCCACUAUAACCACCAGCUGGUCUGAGUUUUGUCGUUGUGCCAACAUUCGCGAAGGAGACAUAUGUGCUUUUCAUUUUAGGGUCACUUCAAAGCGCCGCGUGUUCUUACCGUGCACUGCCUCUAGAUCCACCAUCGAAGACACCGCAGUUCCUGUGUGA
Molecule: ribosomal RNA, 363 nt
Filed under: Triticum aestivum (bread wheat)
Lineage: Eukaryota; Viridiplantae; Streptophyta; Magnoliopsida; Poales; Poaceae
Description: partial small subunit ribosomal RNA
Source: RNAcentral